CUUGGAGCCGCCGCAGCCUUGUGGGGCGGCGCCUUGGUCAGCAGGCAUGUGGUGGCUGCGGGCGGCAUCGGCAACCUUUUCGAGCAGCACAGCGGAUGGUGGCGGAGGCUGAAUCCGCACCUUGGUUGGACAGUGCGGCGGGCGGUUGUUGCGGACGAUGCUGCGGCCGGCCUCAGCAUCACGGUGGCUCAGCCUCAACCCUGCGUGGGAUUCACAGCGGUCAGAGCACACCCGUGGGAUUUGAGACAAGGCGGCAGUGACGAGUUGCUGGGCAACGGAGGCGCUGGAUCUGCGUGAACGGCUUGCCUCAGGGAUGGUUCCUUCCUCUUCAGGUGGAUAGAAGUCGAGGUCUGGAAGAACCAUGGUGAUCUGCUGUGCUGCCGAGCGAGGAAGAAGGUCAUGUG
This is a long non-coding RNA of Lolium rigidum, 404 nucleotides long. RefSeq lists it as uncharacterized. Lineage: Eukaryota; Viridiplantae; Streptophyta; Magnoliopsida; Poales; Poaceae. The transcript is spliced from 3 exons. The record is from RefSeq and is a predicted model, not a curated record.